UUUUGAAAGUAGAACAAAAAUAU
Molecule: non-coding RNA, 23 nt
Filed under: Cricetulus griseus (Chinese hamster)
Lineage: Eukaryota; Metazoa; Chordata; Mammalia; Rodentia; Cricetidae
Source: RNAcentral